UCCAGUACUAAAGGUAUCAGAUGCCUCUGGCC
This 32-nucleotide non-coding RNA is filed under the name Rattus norvegicus (Norway rat). Lineage: Eukaryota; Metazoa; Chordata; Mammalia; Rodentia; Muridae. The record is from RNAcentral.